This 1341-nucleotide ribosomal RNA is filed under the name uncultured bacterium. Its description in RNAcentral is "partial 16S ribosomal RNA". It matches the Rfam family "Bacterial small subunit ribosomal RNA", at positions 28 to 1381 of the family's 1533-position model. The record is from RNAcentral.
GACGAACGCUGGCGGCGUGCUUAACACAUGCAAGUCGAACGGUAAGGCUCCAGCUUGCUGGGGUACACGAGUGGCGAACGGGUGAGUAACACGUGGGUGACCUGCCCUGCACUUCGGGAUAAGCCUGGGAAACUGGGUCUAAUACCGGAUAGGACCGCACCGUGAGGGUGUGGUGGAAAGUUUUUUCGGUGUGGGAUGGGCCCGCGGCCUAUCAGCUUGUUGGUGGGGUAAUGGCCUACCAAGGCGGCGACGGGUAGCCGGCCUGAGAGGGUGGACGGCCACAUUGGGACUGAGACACGGCCCAGACUCCUACGGGAGGCAGCAGUGGGGAAUAUUGCACAAUGGGCGGAAGCCUGAUGCAGCGACGCCGCGUGGGGGAUGACGGCCUUCGGGUUGUAAACUCCUUUCACCAUCGACGAAGGGUUUCUGACGGUAGAUGGAGAAGAAGCACCGGCUAACUACGUGCCAGCAGCCGCGGUAAUACGUAGGGUGCGAGCGUUGUCCGGAAUUACUGGGCGUAAAGAGCUCGUAGGUGGUUUGUCGCGUCGUCUGUGAAAUUCCGGGGCUUAACUCCGGGCGUGCAGGCGAUACGGGCAUAACUUGAGUACUGUAGGGGAGACUGGAAUUCCUGGUGUAGCGGUGAAAUGCGCAGAUAUCAGGAGGAACACCGGUGGCGAAGGCGGGUCUCUGGGCAGUAACUGACGCUGAGGAGCGAAAGCAUGGGGAGCGAACAGGAUUAGACACCCUGGUAGUCCAUGCCGUAAACGGUGGGCGCUAGGUGUGGGUUUCCUUCCACGGGAUCCGUGCCGUAGCUAACGCAUUAAGCGCCCCGCCUGGGGAGUACGGCCGCAAGGCUAAAACUCAAAGGAAUUGACGGGGGCCCGCACAAGCGGCGGAGCAUGUGGAUUAAUUCGAUGCAACGCGAAGAACCUUACCUGGGCUUGACAUAUACAGGAUCGCGCCAGAGAUGGUGUUUCCCUUGUGGCUUGUAUACAGGUGGUGCAUGGUUGUCGUCAGCUCGUGUCGUGAGAUGUUGGGUUAAGUCCCGCAACGAGCGCAACCCUUGUCUUAUGUUGCCAGCACGUUGUGGUGGGGACUCGUAAGAAACUGCCGGGGUUAACUCGGAGGAAGGUGGGGAUGACGUCAAAUCAUCAUGCCCCUUAUGUCCAGGGCUUCACACAUGCUACAAUGGUCGGUACAGUGGGUUGCCAGUCCGUGAGGGCGAGCUAAUCCCGCAAAGCCGGUCUCAGUUCGGAUCGGGGUCUGCAACUCGACCCCGUGAAGUCGGAGUCGCUAGUAAUCGCAGAUCAGCAACGCUGCGGUGAAUACGUUCCCGGGCCU